CUUGUACACACCGCCCGUCACACCAUGGGAGCGGGAUGUACCAGAAGUAGGUAGCCUAACCGCAAGGGGGGCGCUUACCACGGUGUGGUCAAUGACUGGGGUG
This 103-nucleotide ribosomal RNA is filed under the name uncultured bacterium. Its description in RNAcentral is "partial 16S ribosomal RNA". It matches the Rfam family "Bacterial small subunit ribosomal RNA", at positions 1380 to 1482 of the family's 1533-position model. The record is from RNAcentral.